Molecule: long non-coding RNA, 421 nt
Filed under: Volvox carteri
Lineage: Eukaryota; Viridiplantae; Chlorophyta; Chlorophyceae; Chlamydomonadales; Volvocaceae
Description: long non-coding RNA (VCAR_LNC003393)
Source: RNAcentral
GGAAAGGAGUGAUUGCUACUGCUUGCAUAAUACACCUAAAUACCCAUCCUUUACACACCCCUGGUCGGUCUGGCAGCUGAGCAAAAGCGGGCAGGAAGGGGGUGCUCCCGCAUAUCACAAUGUUUAUCCCUCGUUCAACGAAUUGUAAGCUUAUGCAGCUCAGGCUUUGCUGUUGGCGCGCGCAAGGGGCGGCGUUAUAUACCUAGGGAGGAGCGGGUAUGCCCCUGCUGCGGCACUGAUAGCCAUAUUGAAGAUAAGAAGCACGUUUUGCUCGACUGUCCGGCGUACGACAAAAUCAGAUCUGAUAUGGAUAUUCCGCGCUUCGAACAUAUAAAGGACGCUAUAAAGUGGGAACCUGAAGGUCUGCCAAGGAUGCUGGAACGUAUAUGGUCCCACCGCAACUCCAUCGUUCCCUUUGGUC